UUCCCCACAACCAGCCAAAGGAUGGAAGCAAUACCCACCUUGAGUACUCUUAGAAACAGAAUAGUUUCACAAGAUUGCAGAGCGGUGGGAGAAGUCAUGUGUGACAUCAGACCUCAACACAGACUAGGAGCAAGAAUGCCAAAGAGGCAGAUAACAUAUAAACCUCAGGAGGAGGAAGAUCAUCUUCCUUCCAAUACAUCUCAACAUCUCCACUAAAAUGGAAAGGAGGCUCCUCUUAAAACCACGAAUGUCAUUGGUUGUGAGAGCGAAGACAAACCACCAGAAUGGCAUUAGUAGUGGCAAGUGACAUAGAAGGCUGAACAGGGUAAAUAUGAAGUAACGUUAUGCUAAUUUGGAUGUUUUUUCUUUAAGUCACUAGCCAUCCAGAUCCAAGUUCCAGGCCAGGCCAGACCAGACCAUGUGAAAGGAAUUAACUUAAAUAGACAUGGUGAUUAACCUACCAGAACACAGCGAGUUGGAGGCCAGGAGUGGACGUCCAACCUAUAACUUCAAGUCAAAUGCAAGAAAGUAACACUCUUGGAAGUAGGCUGCAUG
Molecule: long non-coding RNA, 555 nt
Organism: Esox lucius (northern pike)
Lineage: Eukaryota; Metazoa; Chordata; Actinopteri; Esociformes; Esocidae
Exons: 4
Source: RefSeq, a predicted model, not a curated record